UACGUAGGGGGCAAGCGUUGUCCGGAAUCAUUGGGCGUAAAGAGCGCGUAGGCGGCCCUGUAAGUCCGCUGUGAAAGUCAAGGGCUCAACCCUUGAAUGCCGGUGGAUACUGCAGGGCUAGAGUCCGGAAGAGGCGAGUGGAAUUCCUGGUGUAGCGGUGAAAUGCGCAGAUAUCAGGAGGAACACCGAUGGCGAAGGCAGCUCGCUGGGACGGUACUGACGCUAAGGCGCGAAAGCGUGGGGAGCGAACGAGGA
This 255-nucleotide ribosomal RNA is filed under the name uncultured bacterium. RNAcentral's name for it is "partial 16S ribosomal RNA". It matches the Rfam family "Bacterial small subunit ribosomal RNA", at positions 524 to 778 of the family's 1533-position model. The record is from RNAcentral.